This 273-nucleotide non-coding RNA is filed under the name human gut metagenome. The record is from RNAcentral.
GGUCUGAACCGAGCCUUUACCGAAAGUUUUUUCGCCUAAGAUAACGGCGCGUUUGUGGUCUUGCAAAGCACCGGCAACAAUUUCGGAAGCUGAGGCGGAACCGUCAUUGACCAGAACGACAAUCGGCAGCCCUUUGGCAAUAUCGCCUGAUUUAGCAUUAUAUUUAACCGUAUCUUCGGCAUUUUUGGAACGGGUCGAGACAAUCUCGCCUUUGUCAAGGAACAGGUCGGAAACAUUGACCGCCUGGUCUAACAAACCGCCGGGAUUGUUGCG